UUAAUUGAAACCAAAAAAGAGGUAAAUUACUGUUAAUAAUUGUACUGAGAUUACUCUCCAAUUAAA
RNAcentral lists this transfer RNA (66 nucleotides) under Staphylinoidea sp. 1 KM-2017. Its description in RNAcentral is "tRNA-Asn". Lineage: Eukaryota; Metazoa; Arthropoda; Insecta; Coleoptera. The record is from RNAcentral.